AUGGAGAAGUUAAUCGGGCUCGAUAUAUGCCCCAAAAAUAAAACUCUCGACGCAUACCAGAUUUUUAAGUUUCAUGAUGGCGUCGUUGAAGAUGUUGCUUGGCAUUUGAGGCAUGAAUACUUAUUCGGCUCAGUUGGUGAUGAUCAUCAUCUCCUAAUUUGUGAUAUGCGUACUCCUGCACCGACCAAGCCUGUACAGUCUGUGGUGGCAAACCAGGGUGAGGUGAAUUGCCUGGCUUUCAAUCCUUUCAAUGAAUGGGUUGUUGCAACUGGUUCAACCAACAAGACUGUCAAAUUAUUUGAUCUUCGGAAGAUUGAUACUUCGCUGCACACUUUUGACUGUCACAAAGAGGAAGUAUUUCAAGUUGGAUGGAGCCCAAAGAAUGAAACUAUACUUGCAUCUUGUUGUCUGGGAAGGAGGCUGAUGGUUUGGGAUCUAAGCAGAAUUGAUCAGGAGCAAACACCAGAGGACGCGGAGGAUGGCCCUCCUGAGCUCUUGUUCAUUCAUGGAGGCCACACAAGCAAAAUCUCUGACUUCUCCUGGAACCCGUGUGAGGACUGGGUGCUUGCAAGCGUUGCUGAAGACAACAUCCUUCAGAUAUGGCAGAUGGCAGAGAACAUCUACCAUGAUGAGGAUGAUCUUCCCAGCGAUGAGCCGGCAAAGGCUUCAUGA
Molecule: ribosomal RNA, 672 nt
Filed under: Triticum aestivum (bread wheat)
Lineage: Eukaryota; Viridiplantae; Streptophyta; Magnoliopsida; Poales; Poaceae
Description: partial small subunit ribosomal RNA
Source: RNAcentral